Small nuclear RNA from Balaenoptera acutorostrata (minke whale), 104 nucleotides. The record is from RefSeq and is a predicted model, not a curated record. NCBI's taxonomy places the organism in Eukaryota, Metazoa, Chordata, Mammalia, Artiodactyla, Balaenopteridae.
GUGCUCGCUUUGGCAGCACGUAUACUAAAAUUGGAACAAUACAAAGAUUAGCACGGCCCCUGUGCAAGGAUGACAUGCAAAUUCAUGAAGCAGUCCAUAUUUAA